AAUAUUUUCUCAUGCGUUACAGGUUUCCAAAUUGAUCAUUACACAGCAGUAAUUUCUUCUGAUGCCAAUUGUAAACAGACCAAAGAAAAGCAAACAUGGCCAUGUCAGCAGCAGAGGCGGUCGGUAGUAGCCAACAGCAGGAGCAGGGCGGGGACUCGAUCGGGCAGGCAGCAGCGGCAGAGGUCUGCGUGGUCCUGGUGAAUGAAGCCAACAAUUAUCCUUCUUGAGGAUGUAAAGCAGGACCCAGCCCACUACCGGCAUCUCGAGGACCCACGCGAAGAACUUCACCAGAAGCCUGGCGACCCGAGGAGCUGCUCGCCAGAAUUCAGCAUUCAACAACAAGAAGAAAAUAGGAUGAGAAUUCAUAAUUCAGCAGGAACAAAUGUCGAACCUUUGACAUUGGGACAUACAGCAACCGCCGUGACUGUAAUUCAGCAACAACCGCUGACGGGGCAGGACUCGUUGUCCUCCUCGUCGUCCAUGGCGGAAAGCCCCAGCAACGAGCCGUUGGUGCUCCCGCCCUCCGACGACACAGAGAUGUCGACGACACAGACAUGGUGCCUAACACUGUGGGGUAACAUGAUAAAUAAAAUUUAUCUAGUUCUUAACCAUUUAUGUAGGGUUACAUGAUGUAUUCAACGACCCUGAGAAUAGUUUUUUUUAAACAAGGCAAAAGAUUUGCCAUUUCAUUGAUUAAGAAGGAGGUUUAGACAGGCCACUAAGUGGCUAGAAAUAAAGUCUAC
This is a long non-coding RNA of Triticum dicoccoides, 743 nucleotides long. RefSeq lists it as uncharacterized. Lineage: Eukaryota; Viridiplantae; Streptophyta; Magnoliopsida; Poales; Poaceae. The record is from RefSeq and is a predicted model, not a curated record. The transcript is spliced from 3 exons.